Non-coding RNA from Chelonoidis abingdonii (Abingdon island giant tortoise), 100 nucleotides. NCBI's taxonomy places the organism in Eukaryota, Metazoa, Chordata, Testudines, Testudinidae. The record is from RefSeq and is a predicted model, not a curated record.
ACCCCCUUACAUAAGAUUUUGUGCCACUACAGGACCUUGGUUGCAACUAUGUUCUAUCUGGUCUCAGAUUAUAUCAAUAACGUCUCCCCCCCAAUGCUAA